Molecule: ribosomal RNA, 301 nt
Filed under: uncultured bacterium
Lineage: Bacteria
Description: partial 16S ribosomal RNA
Rfam family: Bacterial small subunit ribosomal RNA
Source: RNAcentral
CAGUCGCCGCGGGAAUACGAAGGGGGCUAGCGUUGUUCGGAAUUACUGGGCGUAAAGGGCGCGUAGGCGGCCAUUCAAGUUAGAUGUGAAAGCCCUGGGCUCAACCUAGGAAUUGCAUUUGAUACUGUUUGGCUUGAGUUCGGGAGAGGUGAGUGGAAUUCCCAGUGUAGAGGUGUAAUUCGUAGAUAUUGGGAAGAACACCAGUGGCGAAGGCGGCUCACUGGACCGACACUGACGCUGAGGCGCGAAAGCGUGGGGAGCAAACAGGAUUAGAGACCCCUGUAGUCCCUGUCUCUUAUAC